CCUACGGGAGGCAGCAGUGGGGAAUAUUGGACAAUGGAGGUAACUCUGAUCCAGCAAUUCUGUGUGCAUGAAGAAGGUUUUCGGAUUGUAAAGUGCUUUCAGCAGGGAAGAAGAAAGUGACGGUACCUGCAGAAGAAGCGACGGCUAAAUACGUGCCAGCAGCCGCGGUAAUACGUAUGUCGCGAGCGUUAUCCGGAAUUAUUGGGCAUAAAGGGCAUCUAGGCGGCACGACAAGUCAGGGGUGAAAACUUGCGGCUCAACUGCAAGCUUGCCUUUGAAACUGUAGUGCUAGAGUAUUGGAAAGGUGGGCGGAACUACACGAGUAGAGGUGAAAUUCGUAGAUAUGUGUAGGAAUGCCGAUGAUGAAGAUAGCUCACUGGACGAUAACUGACGCUGAAGUGCGAAAGCUAGGGGAGCGAACAGGAUUAGAUACCCGUGUAGUC
Molecule: ribosomal RNA, 443 nt
Filed under: uncultured Leptotrichia sp.
Lineage: Bacteria; Fusobacteriati; Fusobacteriota; Fusobacteriia; Fusobacteriales; Leptotrichiaceae
Description: bacterial SSU rRNA
Rfam family: Bacterial small subunit ribosomal RNA
Source: RNAcentral